CUGAGCCAGCCCAGGCUGGCCUUAUCUCUCUCCUCAGCCCAGUGUUUGUUUGAAGAGAAUCAAAGCAUGUUCUUUUUCUGUUUUCUUCAAAGGGAAGGAGAGAAUGAUGCUGGCCACUGCAAGAGGAGAGGGGACUUCGGUUUGCUGGUGGAGUGGUCACAUCAGAGCUUCUGCUGCAGUCUCUUUGCUUCUGGUCAAGUUCUAGCUCUGCCACCGCUUCAUGCUUUUGUGGUCAUAGAAGGUCAGAGCAUGCUGACAGAGCAAUUCCUGAGAUUCCAGGUAAGACCAGAGCAAGGUCCAGGAACUGCGACACCUCAUUCAGAGCAGAAGAGAGGAGAAUAGAUCCCGACAUGCAUCUGUUUAGUGCAGAACCGCCAACCUCCAUGUCUCUCAGUGAAGGUGGUGGUUUCAUCACCAGCAGCAGCAGCUAGUCUUUGCUCCUCCACAUGGCCCAUGCCAGCCCUGCCUCUGUCCACACAUACCGUAUCUUAGCUCAAUGUAUUCUGUGUUAGUGCUGUUUUCCUAUGCUUUUGUUUGCCUAUAGACU
Molecule: long non-coding RNA, 547 nt
Filed under: Mus spicilegus (steppe mouse)
Lineage: Eukaryota; Metazoa; Chordata; Mammalia; Rodentia; Muridae
Description: lncRNA (ENSMSIG00000010963.1)
Source: RNAcentral